Molecule: ribosomal RNA, 924 nt
Filed under: uncultured bacterium
Lineage: Bacteria
Also listed under: 1 other name
Description: bacterial SSU rRNA
Rfam family: Bacterial small subunit ribosomal RNA
Source: RNAcentral
UGGAUCCAGACUUUGAUCCUGGCUCAGGAUGAACGCUAGCUACAGGCUUAACACAUGCAAGUCGAGGGGCAGCGGGAUUGAAGCUUGCUUCAAUUGCCGGCGACCGGCGCACGGGUGAGUAACGCGUAUCCAACCUUCCGUACACUCAGGGAUAGCCUUUCGAAAGAAAGAUUAAUACCUGAUGGUAUGAUGAGAUUGCAUGAUAGCAUCAUUAAAGAUUUAUCGGUGUACGAUGGGGAUGCGUUCCAUUAGGUAGUAGGCGGGGUAACGGCCCACCUAGCCAACGAUGGAUAGGGGUUCUGAGAGGAAGGUCCCCCACAUUGGAACUGAGACACGGUCCAAACUCCUACGGGAGGCAGCAGUGAGGAAUAUUGGUCAAUGGACGAGAGUCUGAACCAGCCAAGCAGCGUGAAGGAUGAAGGUCCUACGGAUUGUAAACUUCUUUUAUAAGGGAAUAAACCCUCCCACGUGUGGGAGCUUGUAUGUACCUUAUGAAUAAGCAUCGGCUAACUCCGUGCCAGCAGCCGCGGUAAUACGGAGGAUGCGAGCGUUAUCCGGAUUUAUUGGGUUUAAAGGGAGCGCAGACGGGCCGUUAAGUCAGCUGUGAAAGUUUGGGGCUCAACCUUAAAAUUGCAGUUGAUACUGGCGUCCUUGAGUGCGGUUGAGGUGUGCGGAAUUCGUGGUGUAGCGGUGAAAUGCUUAGAUAUCACGAAGAACUCCGAUUGCGAAGGCAGCACACUAAUCCGUAACUGACGUUCAUGCUCGAAAGUGUGGGUAUCAAACAGGAUUAGAUACCCUGGUAGUCCACACGGUAAACGAUGGAUACUCGCUGUUGGCGAUAUACUGUCAGCGGCUUAGCGAAAGCGUUAAGUAUCCCACCUGGGGAGUACGCCGGCAACGGUGCAACUCAAAGGAAUUGACGGA